Molecule: ribosomal RNA, 253 nt
Filed under: uncultured bacterium
Lineage: Bacteria
Description: partial 16S ribosomal RNA
Rfam family: Bacterial small subunit ribosomal RNA
Source: RNAcentral
GACAGAGGGGGCAAGCGUUGCUCGGAAUCACUGGGCGUAAAGGGCGCGUAGGCGGGAUGGCAAGUCGGUCGUGAAAUCCUUCGGCUCAACCGAAGAACGUCGGCCGAUACUGCCGUUCUUGAGGGAUGCAGAGGAGAUUGGAAUUCCCGGUGUAGCGGUGAAAUGUGUAGAGAUCGGGAAGAACAUCAGUGGCGAAGGCGGUCUGCUGGGCCGUUGCUGACGCUGAGGCGCGACAGCGUGGGGAGCAAACAGG